AAGGAAAUAGAUUGGUGGGCUUCUAGUCCAUCUCUGCCACAGCUCUGCAAUGAAUUUAAAUUGAACUUAUUGCAUGCAUUGCUUAAUGUCCUUUGUUGUUAAACUAUUUCCUAAAUGGUACAACCUGAAUAUCUUAGUGUGACAAAUUUACUCAUGAAAGGUCCCUCUAUCAUCAGGUUGGAGGAAGUCUUGACAAGGAAGUUGGCAAGACUGGAACUCUCAGAGAUGACCACAGGAUGGAGAAUGUCGGGGGUAGUACAGCGUGGUGCAAGAAGCUCCAGCUCUGGGGCCAGUUGGACAGGGUUUGAUUCCAACUCUGGCACCUGUCAGUGGAGCAGCCUCAGAACAACAUGGCUGUCCAAGCACCAGACUUCAUGGGAAAGGAGAGGAGAGCUCAGGGAGCUUCCUUUCUGACUAUUCCGUGAAGGAUUUUAUUCUCUGGAAAAAAUAUUCUUCUCUAAACAUCCUCAGGGUGCUGCUCAUCAAUGGAAUACUCAGAUGACCACUGCUGAGCACCUGGAGGUUACAUGCCCUGCCACAAUGACUCAGUAAAACCACCCCUUCCAUCUUGGUCAAAGUGCACUGCAAAGGCAACGUGUGACCUAGACAAGCAUUAAAUAAUAUCAGAAAUGGCCAGAACAAUAGAAAUGACGUCAAUGAAGUCUCUCAUGGAAACCAAAAGUGUCUGUAGUUUAAACACUGAGUUUUGCAAUACAACGCUCUGUGAUGACGACAACAAAGAAGGAGGAAGAGGAGGUGCAUACAAAUUAAUGUGACAGUUAAUACAAGAGCCGCAAUGCAAUUAUUUCUGGAUAUCACUGGAGCAAAGAAGAUAAUCCCCUGGCUUCUGAGAGCUCACAUAUCAGCCAACAGAUUAAAUAUGAGAAUUGUAUUACCUGAAUGAGGAAAGAAGGCAGAGAGCUCAGUCAAGCCUGCUUGGACUUCUGACCUACACAGAAAGGAGAUGAUGAAUGAGUAUUGCUUAAAGUCGCUGAGUUUGGGGCAAUGGACAAUCUCUAACAGAAAUGAGACACUUAAAUUAAGGAGAUGAAGUUCCUGUGGGAGGAUGUCAGUCACUACCAGCUGGCCAAGGAUAGAUUUUAAACAAACUUUGGAAAUUUGGAAAUAAUAUGAGCAAUUUACUUUGGAGAGAAAAUUUGAGACAAUGGACACCGCCAAUUGUCCCAACCAGCCAGGUUUGGAUAAUCACAGAAUACAAGAAUUCACAUAUAUGAUCUGGAGCCCAGUUGCUGAGUUGCUUUCCACAGGUAUUUUGUCAAUAAGAAAACAUUGCAAAUAUGACCAAUGAGUGGAGAAAAGAAUCACUAACACACUUAAGGGAGAGAAUACGUGGAAAUAAACCCUAUAGAAAUCCAGAACAUGAAGGCCUUUAAGUGACUUCAGGGAGGAGGGAUGACCAAGGACCGAUUUUUACUGACCAACUGUCAAUUUGUAAUACUCCUUAAAAAACAGGCAAAACCAAAGCUAUAACACAGAGUAGAAAUGAUUUGAUGAUGUAAUGCUUUUGCAUCUGAGCUUUUAAAGCUCUUAGAAAUCUUUUUAAGAAGAUUGAAGACUUCAAACAAAAGCCAGGCAGCCUCCGGAAUGGCCAAUUCUAAGUGGAAGACUAGAGUCCAGUCAUUCUCCAGGGAAAGGAACCUGAUUCCUCGGUGAGCCAGGCGCUGCUCUGCUUGGUCACUCUCAGAACAGAAGUCCAGGAGCAGCUCCAAGGCUUUCCUCAGGAUCUGGCCAUCAGGCCUCUCCCGAAUGAGUCCACCUCUCCCUCUGGAUCCCCAGAAAGAUGAUUAAAUGAGUCAUAAUUUAAGAAAGAAAAGGCUGGCAACUGGGACCUCAGCUUGAGGUCACGACUGUGUAUAAAGAAUGUGAGGAAAAGAAUCCAUCAUUCCAUUGAUUUCUUACAUCUUUCCCGUGGACUAGCAAUUUAAUGAAAAAUAGCCAAUUGUCCUGAAGGUGUUGCUCUUGGAAGGUGCCUGCAUACCAGGAAAGCCAUGAAUGCCGCAGGGACCUCAAGCAGACAAGACCCUGAAGGCAGGAGGUGCAAGAGAGCUGAGAAUCAUGCAGACUUCAGCGUUACCACGUGCUCCCCAUCCCAGGCGAGAGAAAAAUUAAAAAAAAAAAAAUUUCUUGACCUGGAGCUCCCUCUCUAGCUCUCCCUAGUGUCUUGCCAAUCCUUCCCACACUAAUUUCUUGAAAAGUCUUUCUGCUCUCUGUCCAUUCACUGCUCAGUGCACUUUACCGGAAGCUUACCAAUGACCUCCACAUUGCUAAAGCCAGUGAAGUUUUAAAAUUUCUUAUCUGACUGGACCUUUUUGUCUUACUUGGUAUUAUUCUUUCCUCCUUUUUAUGAUAAUAAUAAUAGAAUAAUAGCUAAUAUUACUGAGUAUUAAGUAUUUGCCACACAUUGUGCUAAACAUACAUUAAAACUCCACUUUUUUUCCUGAAAUGUAAAUUUGGCAUCUUCCUUGGUGAACAAACUAAGUUACAUGCUAUAUGGUGGCAAGUGAGUGAAGAGUCCUCUUGGUGUGCUGCGUACAUAGGGACCACGGAUCCUGCAGACCCUGUUGGAGAAUACAUCACUGAUCCCAAACACCAUUUGCUGGUGGUACCAAGGCUCUGAUCUUAUCGCCCUCUCUGGCUGGGUGGUUUUGGGAAGGGACUAGAGCCCCCAGAGAAAGGCCUCAGAGAAGCAGAGACUAACUCAUCAGCAAUAAUAGAUGCUGGCAUGCUGUAUGAAACACCUACAACCUGAGAUUUAUUUCAGUGACUGCCUGUCUUCCUUUUUCAUUCUGUUUCUCUCCACGAUAACUUUUGCUCUGAACUUUGUGCGACCGCACAGAGAACAGGUCAGCUAAGAACAGACUACCAGUUUAUACAUGACUUCAGUUCUAUUCUAGGAAGCAAAGGCCAUACGGAUAGUCUAGAGUAAGUGAAGAAGGCCCAAAGAAAGCAGAAAUCGAGUAGGUAUGUUGAUGUUGAAGGGCCACUGCUAGAAGGUAGCGAUUGAUGCAGCAUAAAUGCCAAACGACUGUGUUCUUUGGUCUGGCCCAGACACGCAGCCAGAGCCCUAAACCUCGGAGGCCAUGCUGCAACCACACACAGUUACCCACACGCUCCGAGGCCUCUCUGUGCCAUUAAAGGUGGUUUCUUUGUAGUUUUCCUUAGCAUGGAUAAUAACUUGCUAGUGUGUUUGUUAUAUUUUUUCCAAGCUGCCGCAUGUUUUCUCUCUCUUGACCUUUAAUGGCAUUUACUGGAAAUACCUUCAUGUCCAACUGAAGUAAAAUUUCAUCAGAUUUAUUUCUAUUUAAGGACAUUACUUAUUCAGAAUGAUAAUAUAUUCCUUCUCUAUAUUCAUGCAUUAAUGUAACCACAUUAUUUUUCUUCCUCAUUUCUUUUAAUAGCAGGGAAAUAGUGAAUUCAGGGAAAAUUACUCUGCAUAAAAUGCCAUGAGUCUUUUCCCUGGGCCUGGAGAUAUGAAUUUUGCAAGAUUCCCCUCUGAGGAGUCAACAGCCGGAGCUCAGUAAACAGGUGGGUUCAAUUGAGAGAAAUUGAAGAAAAUUUCCAAGACCACUCAGCUGAGAAAAGGUAGAAUCAGGGGCUGGCCCCGUGGCCCAGUGGUUAAGUUCGCGCGCUCAGCUGCAAGCGGCCCAGUGUUUCGUGGUUCGAAUCCUGGGCGCGGACAGGGCACUGCUCAUCAAACCACGCUGAGGCAGCAUCCCACAUGCCACAACUAGAAGGACCCACAACGAAGAACACACAACUAUAUACGGGGUCUUUGGGGAGAAAAAGGAAAAAAAAAAUAAAAUCUUAAAAAAA
Molecule: long non-coding RNA, 3834 nt
Filed under: Equus asinus (donkey)
Lineage: Eukaryota; Metazoa; Chordata; Mammalia; Perissodactyla; Equidae
Description: lncRNA (ENSEASG00005037182.1)
Source: RNAcentral